This 480-nucleotide ribosomal RNA is filed under the name uncultured bacterium. RNAcentral's name for it is "bacterial SSU rRNA". It matches the Rfam family "Bacterial small subunit ribosomal RNA", at positions 29 to 506 of the family's 1533-position model. The record is from RNAcentral.
UUGAACGCUGGCGGCAUGCCUUACACAUGCAAGUCGAACGGUAACAGGUCUUCGGAUGCUGACGAGUGGCGAACGGGUGAGUAAUACAUCGGAACGUGCCCGAUCGUGGGGGAUAACGCAGCGAAAGCUGUGCUAAUACCGCAUACGAUCUACGGAUGAAAGCGGGGGACCGUAAGGCCUCGCGCGAUCGGAGCGGCCGAUGUCAGAUUAGGUAGUUGGUGGGGUAAAGGCUCACCAAGCCGACGAUCUGUAGCUGGUCUGAGAGGACGACCAGCCACACUGGGACUGAGACACGGCCCAGACUCCUACGGGAGGCAGCAGUGGGGAAUUUUGGACAAUGGGCGCAAGCCUGAUCCAGCAAUGCCGCGUGCAGGAAGAAGGCCUCCGGGUUGUAAAGCUCUUUCGGCGGGGAAGAAAUCGCACGGGUUAAUACCUCGUGUGGAUGACGGUACCCGAAUAAGAAGCACCGGCUAACUACGU